AUGACAGAUCCAGAAAGGAGGCUUUAUGAUCACAGAACCAAAUUAAUCCAGGAUCUGCGUGCAGGGAUCAGACACCUAAAAAGAGCCUUAAAAAAGAAAACUGGCACAAUACAGACAUUGAGGUUAAGAGUACAGAGUUACCUAAAGAAAAAUGAAAAUAACCUAGCCAAGGAACUGCAGAUUAAGAUAAAGAUAUAUGAUAAUACAUUGUCAAGAAGCCAGGCAUUGCACAGAAAGAACAGUACUUUGAAAAACACUGGACAUGUUUCGAAGAAGAGGAGACAAAAGUACAGUAAAGCAAAGGUAAACAUGAAGAGACAUAUGAGGAUUCCGGAGGAGAACUGUGUGAUCGAGGACAUGGACAAAGAAGGCAAAACAACAAAGGAAGUCCUCCCAGACCAGGAACCGUGCACUCAGCUGCCAGACCUGCAGACAGAAAAUGACCAAAACCUUCCUGAGAUACGGGAGCACCUUUUGGAAGAAGACAUUAAAGAUCAUCAAAACCAACUACAAAUGUUGGACAGAAACAGGGCGCAGCAUGAGCUGAAAAAACACAGAUGGGAAAAGAAAGAGCAGCAAUUAGUCCAAGAGAAACACCAUCUCAUACUGAAGAGCAAAGAGCUGCAGGAGCUCACUCUGCUGACAGACAAACAGAAAGAAAAGAUCAGGAAAGAGCAGAAGAAAGCUGAGAAGGAGGUCGCCAAACUGAAAGCAAAGGAAGAGAAAAUGAAGCAAAAUCAGCGCAAAAACGAGAAAGCUAAACUUAAGAAAGAGAAAGAAGAGAGACUGAAGGAAGAGAAACUCAAGAAAAAGGAGGAAGAACAUCUGCAAAAAGAGACAAAACAAGCAAAGAAAGAGAAACAACUGAAAGUAGAGAACGAGCAAAAGAAGAAAGAAAAACUUGAGAAAAAGGAAAAAAAACUGCGGGAAAAGGAAAACCAAAAGUGGAGAAAGAAAAAAAAGAAACUUGAGAAAAAGGAAGCACGUCUGCAGAAUGAACAAAAACAACUGUUGAUUGCCAAGGAAAAGGACCUGAUGAAAAGGUUUGAGGCAUGGGAGAGGGAAAAAGAAAAAAUGCAUCUGAGCAAGAACAAGGAAGCCAAACUUAAGAAAGAGAAAGAACAGUGGCCGUGUAUAAGAAUAUUCAAGAAGAAGAAGAAAGAACCGCAAGAAAAGGAAAAGCCAAUGUGGAAAAAAGAGAAAGGGAAACUUGAGAAACUUGAGAAAAGGGAAGCACGUCUGCAGAAAAAAGAACAACUGUUGAACGCCAAGAAAGAGGACCUAAAGAAAAGGUUAGAGGCGUUGGAAAAGAAAAAGCUAAACUUAAGAAAAGAGAAGGAAGAGAGACUGAAGAAAGAGAAACUCAAGAAAAAAGAGGAAGAACGUCUGCAAAAAGAGGAGACAAAAUGA
Molecule: long non-coding RNA, 1410 nt
Filed under: Gouania willdenowi (blunt-snouted clingfish)
Lineage: Eukaryota; Metazoa; Chordata; Actinopteri; Blenniiformes; Gobiesocidae
Description: lncRNA (ENSGWIG00000010395.1)
Source: RNAcentral